This is a long non-coding RNA of Macrobrachium nipponense, 544 nucleotides long. RefSeq lists it as uncharacterized. The record is from RefSeq and is a predicted model, not a curated record. NCBI's taxonomy places the organism in Eukaryota, Metazoa, Arthropoda, Malacostraca, Decapoda, Palaemonidae. The transcript is spliced from 3 exons.
UACCUUUCCAGUCACCCAGUGUUGCGGUAACGCGAUUGCAUUCAUUUGAGAGGUCCUUUUAAUACAGUUGCGUAACGUUGUAUUACAUUAGACCAGCAAUGGAGGAUGAACUCAGACAAGACAGCAAUGAAGCGAAAGCUUGAAAUCGUAAAGCACGAGGAGGGAAUGGAAGGUCAACCGAUAACAAAACUAAGCUGUCACACCUGUUGGCUGGAACAUAUCAAAUCAGUUGGACCAUUAAGCACCUACUGGUUGGACGGGCUGAUAAAAACGAUAGUGAUAUAACCGCGGCCGGUUACAUUUUGCAACGGUGGCGCCUCUACCAGAGGGCGCGUAAUUGGGGUUGGAAGAUGUCAACAACGUGACAGAGACACAUUUCUGUACUGCAGUUAACUGCUGUCAUUCAAGAAAGAAAAGGCCUGAAUUAUCCGUUUUUCGAUUCCCCAAAGACAAUAAAGGGGACCAUCGGUGAUCUAAUUAAAAUUGUGCUGACACUAACAUAAAACUCCCUGCAAUCAUUCUCCUGUUGAAUGUUCAUCGCCAU